This 397-nucleotide ribosomal RNA is filed under the name uncultured bacterium. RNAcentral's name for it is "partial 16S ribosomal RNA". It matches the Rfam family "Bacterial small subunit ribosomal RNA", at positions 523 to 918 of the family's 1533-position model. The record is from RNAcentral.
AUACGUAGGUGACAAGCGUUAUCCGGAUUUACUGGGCGUAAAGGGCGUGUAGGCGGUCUUGCAAGUCAGAAGUGAAAUUCCUGAGCUCAACUCGGGCGCUGCUUCUGAAACUGCAGGACUUGAGUGCUGGAGGGGAUAGCGGAAUUCCUAGUGGAGCGGUAAAAUGCGCAGAUAUUAGGAAGAACACCGGUGGCGAAGGCGGGUAACUGGACUGCAACUGACGCUGAGGCGCGAAAGUGUGGGGAGCAAACAGGAUUAGAUACCCUGGUAGUCCACACUGUAAACGAUGAAUGCUAGGUGUAAGAGGUAUCGACCCCUUUUGUGCCGGAGUCAACACAAUAAGCAUUCCGCCUGGGGAGUACGGCCGCAAGGUUGAAACUCAAAGGAAUUGACGGGG